This is a long non-coding RNA of Panicum virgatum (switchgrass), 1383 nucleotides long. RefSeq lists it as uncharacterized. NCBI's taxonomy places the organism in Eukaryota, Viridiplantae, Streptophyta, Magnoliopsida, Poales, Poaceae. The transcript is spliced from 4 exons. The record is from RefSeq and is a predicted model, not a curated record.
GUCAAAACACUAAGAGCCAGAGUGGCAGACGUCCCUGUUUCAGGCAAGUAUUGCCUUGUAAUUCAGUAGCUGUACACCUGCCGAACCUGUCUUGUUGCAAUGCAUAUGUACAGGAGUACCGAACAAUGUUAAGCUUCGGGAGAAGCCUAUCAGAGUCACACAAAUUAAUAGGCAUCAUUCAAAUUCUUAAAUAGACCCAAAUGGCCACCAAGCAUAGCCACAAAAAAGUAUGUUCAUCAUUCAUUCAAGCCACAAAGCAUAUGGAACUAAGCCUUUAACUAGGCAUAUGUAACUAAGCCUCUAACUACUCGAACCUUUUAUAGGAACUAAGACCCAAACUAAGAUUUGAACUAAAUAGUUGGCGAAUCUGCAUCAUCUUCUUCCUCCCGAAUCAUGAGUGCUUGAAUGGGUUCUUUCACAUCCUGAGCCUCGUUUGCCUCAGCAAAAAUAAGGUCAGCAGCCAUCUCCUUCCUAAAGUUGUCUAUAUCUGCCUGUAAUUGACAUCCAAACAAAUUCGUUGAUAUGAGUUGAUAUAGAAUAAUAAGGUGCCCAUAAAGAAACUAAUUCAAAAGGCCAACCAAGUAAGCUAUGUACUUGAUUUGAUUUGGUAGAUCGGUAUAGUUCCUUGUCAAUAAUUUAUAGAUCACUUAUAGAUAGAGAUUCUAUUGUUUUGAAUUGUGGAUGAAGGCUACAGUUUUGGUUGAUUACAACAAUGUGGCAACAAUGUUUUCCACAUAGAGAUUGGGUUGCUUACGGAUCUGUUAACAGAUAACGACUGGGUUCAUUCAAAUUCUUUCUUACAGAUACCCUUGGUUGAUUUGAAUUGUGAUUCAGAGGUAGAGAUUUGUUUGAUUACAUCUCUGUCUUAUACAGAUUGGGUUCAUUACUACUCUUUUUUACAGAUAUAAGUUUGGACGACGAUGGCCGAAUCGAAUCGAUUCGUGCGCUUUACAUGCCGAGAUUCGAUCCGAAGAGGAACAGGAACCGGACUCCGACGACUCCGACUCGUCCAUCGGCCAAUAUGGAAAUAAUUUUGUAGAGUAGUGGGUACCCCAAGGUCAAGAUCUGCGCUACCCCAAGGCCGAUUUGUAUCAACCCAACCCUACAAUGCCAUUGAGGAAUGAGGAUGAGGAAUCAUGACAAGGGAUACGAACCCGGAUUGCGUCGCCGCCAUGGAACGCCGUUGUCCGGAGGUGAUGCAGCCUUGGAUCAAAAUGAAUUGGGGAUGAGGCGUGUGCUCCUGCAGAGGUCGCGGUCGGGGCUACGGGGCAACUGGCGGUCAGCGUGUCGAAGCCGUCCUCCUCGCCGUCGGCGGAGGGGGGUGAAACAAUGGAGAUGUUGAUUUGCGUGGAGAUUUAAUAGUGAUUUAAGGCUUUUGCUAAA